This 56-nucleotide transfer RNA is filed under the name Contracaecum osculatum A sensu Nascetti et al. (1993). Its description in RNAcentral is "tRNA-Asp". The record is from RNAcentral. Lineage: Eukaryota; Metazoa; Nematoda; Chromadorea; Rhabditida; Anisakidae.
AAAAUUUUAGUAUAAUAUAAUUAUAUCCCAUUGUCAAUGGGGAGAUUGAAAUUUUA